RNAcentral lists this non-coding RNA (108 nucleotides) under Escherichia coli. RNAcentral describes it as "antisense sRNA RprA". It matches the Rfam family "RprA RNA". From Rfam's summary of the family: Translational regulation of the stationary phase sigma factor RpoS is mediated by the formation of a double-stranded RNA stem-loop structure in the upstream region of the rpoS messenger RNA, occluding the translation initiation site. Clones carrying rprA (RpoS regulator RNA A) increased the translation of RpoS. Lineage: Bacteria; Pseudomonadati; Pseudomonadota; Gammaproteobacteria; Enterobacterales; Enterobacteriaceae. The record is from RNAcentral.
ACGGUUAUAAAUCAACAUAUUGAUUUAUAAGCAUGGAAAUCCCCUGAGUGAAACCACGAAUUGCUGUGUGUAGUCUUUGCCCAUCUCCCACGAUGGGCUUUUUUUUAA